AGCAGGCGCGUAAAUUGCCCGAAUCCUGACACAGGGAGGUAGUGACAAGAAAUAACGAUACAGGGCUACAUCUAGUCUUGUAAUUGGAAUGAGUACAAUUUACAUCUCUUAACGAUGAUCAAUUGGAGGGCAAGUCUGGUGCCAGCAGCCGCGGUAAUUCCAGCUCCAAUAGCGUAUAUCAAAGUUGUUGCAGUUAGAACGCUCGUAGUCGGAUUUCGGGGCGUUCCGACCGGUCUGCCGAUGGGUAUGCACUGGCCGGAGUGUCCUUUUUGCCGGAGGCCGUGCCUACUCUUAACUGAGCGGGGGCGGGAGACGGCACUUUUACUUUGAAAAAAUCAGAGUGUUUCAAGCAGGCAGCUCGCUCUUGCAUGGAUUAGCAUGGGAUAAUGAAAUAGGACUUUGGUGCUAUUUCGUUGGUUUCGAACACCGAAGUAAUGAUGAGAAGGGACAGUCAGGGGCACUCGUAUUCCGCAGAGAGAGGUGAAAUUCUCAGACCAAUGGAGGACGAACCACUGCGAAAGCAUUUGCCAGGGAUGUUUUCACUGAUCAAGAACGAAAGUUAGGGGAUCGAAGACGAUCAGAUGCCGUCGUAGUCUUAACCAUAAACCAUGCCGACUAGGGAUUGGAGGGUGUUCUAUUCGACCCCUUCAGCACCUUACGGGAAACUAAAGUCUUUGGGUUCCGGGGGGAGUAUGGUCGCAAGGCUGAAACUUAAAGGAAUUGACGGAAGGGCACCACCAGGAGUGGAGCCUGCGGCUUAAUUUGACUCAACACGGGGAAACUUACCAGGUCCAGACAUUGUUAGGAUUGACAGAUUGAGAGCUCUUUCUUGAUUCGAUGGGUGGUGGUGCAUGGCCGUUCUUAGUUGGUGGAGUGAUUUGUCUGGUUAAUUCCGUUAACGAACGAGACCUUAACCCGCUAAAUAGUGGCACUUACUCUUUGUAGGUGGUUAUCUUCUUAGAGGGACAACUUGUUUUCAUCAAGUGGAAGUUUGAGGCAAUAACAGGUCUGUGAUGCCCUUAGAUGUUUCUGGGCCGCACGCGCGCUACACUGAUGCACUCAACGAGUCUCCACCUUGACCGAGAGGUCCGGGAAACCUUCGAACUUGCAUCGUGAUGGGGAUAGAUUAUUGCAACUAUUAAUCUUCAACGAGGAAUACCUAGUAGGCGCAUGUCAUCAGCGCGCGUUGA
This 1190-nucleotide ribosomal RNA is filed under the name Haptophyta environmental samples. RNAcentral describes it as "SSU rRNA". It matches the Rfam family "Eukaryotic small subunit ribosomal RNA", at positions 427 to 1644 of the family's 1831-position model. Lineage: Eukaryota; Haptophyta. The record is from RNAcentral.